This 512-nucleotide ribosomal RNA is filed under the name uncultured bacterium. RNAcentral describes it as "partial 16S ribosomal RNA". It matches the Rfam family "Bacterial small subunit ribosomal RNA", at positions 8 to 526 of the family's 1533-position model. The record is from RNAcentral.
AGAGUUUGAUCCUGGCUCAGAACGAACGUUGGCGGCGUGGAUUAGGCAUGCAAGUCGAACGAAUCCCUGAGGGCUUGCUCUUGGGGGGAAGUGGCGAAAGGGGCAGUAAGGCGUGGGUAACUUGCCCGCGGGAUGGGGAUAGCCUUCCUAACGGAAGGGUAAUACCCGGCGAUGUAGUCUGGGGGCAUCCUCGGACUACCAAAUGAAUUUCGCCCGCGGAGAGGCCCACGUGGUAUUAGCUGGUUGGUGGGGUAACGGCCCACCAAGGCUUAGAUGCCUAGCAGGUGUGAGAGCACGACCUGCGCCACUGGCACUGCGACACUGGCCAGACUCCUACGGGAGGCUGCAGUCGAGGAUCUUCGGCAAUGGGCGCAAGCCUGACCGAGCGACGCCGCGUGCGCGAUGAAGGCCUUCGGGUUGUAAAGCGCUGUCGAGGGGGAGGAAAGCCGCAAGGUCUGACCUAUCCCUGGAGGAAGGACGGGCUAAGUUCGUGCCAGCAGCCGCGGUAAUAC